AGAGCAUGACAAGGGGAGGGGCAGAGAGAGGGGGAGACACAGAUUCUGAAGCAGGCUCCAGGUUCCAAGUGUCAGCACAGAGCCCGACGCGGGGCUCGAACUCACGAGCUGUGAGAUCAUGACCUGAGCCGAAGUCGGACGCUUCAACCGACUGAGCCACCCAGGCGCUCCAGAAGGCUCAUUCCGAAGCAACACUGGUUUCUAUACACAAUACUUUACUCUGACCACAUAGGUCACAUUAAUAGCUUCAAUCUGCAGGCCAGGGAGCCCCCCAGACAUCCAUUCUACCCAGAUACUGAGAAAUCUGGAUAACGAACAAGUAGUGAAGACCUUUGCUUUCACCAUCAUCAUUAAUUCUGCCUUUCUUCUUUAGUUUCUCUACCAGUCACCCCUCUGCCAUCCCCAGUGGUAGUCUCAGAAACUCGGAGUACACUUUCUGUCCUGGUAACACCAGCUCUUGAGGGAGUACAUUUCCCCUUUGUGCUAGGUUGAAUAGUGUCUCCCAAAUUCACGCCCCUUCACAACCUGUGCAUGUGGCCUUAUUUGGAAAUAGGGUCUUUGCAGACGUCAUCAAGUUUAGAUAAAGCCAUACUGGGUUAGGGCCAGCACUAAAUCCAAUAUGACUGGUGUCUUUAUAAGAAAAGGAAAUUUGGGACACAGACACACAGAGAUGCACAGAAAGGAGAAUGCCAUGUGAAGACAGAUAGAAAUUGGACUGAUGUGUCUACAAGGCAAGGAACGCCAAGGAUUGUCGGCAACCAAUGAAAGCUAAGGAGAGGCAAGGAAGGAAUCUUCCUUAGAGCCUUUGAAGGGAGCAAGGUCCUGCUGACACCUCGAUUUCAGACUUCCAGCCUCCAGAACUGUGACAGUGUAAAUGUCUGUUGUUUUAAGUGACCCAGGUUGGGGUAAUUUGUUACAGCAGUCGCAGGAAACUAAUACACCUUGUUCCUAUUCCCUUCCUUUUUGUAUAGAUGCUGCUUACAUGCUGAGGAUUUCUUUUUAUUUCCCUAGAAUGCUCCUCUUUGGACAAUCAUACUUUAUGCACCCUAUCCAGGACAGCGAUCUUCGGUCUAGGGUACAUAUUCCCUGAAGGUAUGUGAAGACUUUUAAGGUGUUUACAAGUAUGGACAGCUUUGAAGAUCCUCCAUUUUCAUAUCUAUUCUUUCCUAAAAGUGAAAUAUUUCUUUUUUAAAAUUUUUUUAACGUUUAUUUAUUAUUGAGAGACACAGAGAGACAGAGUGCGAGCAAAGGAGGGGCAGAGAGAGAGGGAGACACAGAAUCCGAAGCAGGCUCCAGGCUCAGAGCUGUCAGCACAGAGCCUGACGCGGGGCUUGAACUCACAAACUGCGAAUUCAUGACCUGAGCCGAAGUCGGACGCUUAACCGACUGAGCCACCCAGGCACCC
This 1405-nucleotide long non-coding RNA is filed under the name Felis catus (domestic cat). RNAcentral's name for it is "lncRNA (ENSFCAG00000043496.2)". The record is from RNAcentral. Lineage: Eukaryota; Metazoa; Chordata; Mammalia; Carnivora; Felidae.